RNAcentral lists this ribosomal RNA (499 nucleotides) under uncultured Glomeromycotina. RNAcentral describes it as "partial small subunit ribosomal RNA". It matches the Rfam family "Eukaryotic small subunit ribosomal RNA", at positions 591 to 1092 of the family's 1831-position model. The record is from RNAcentral. Lineage: Eukaryota; Fungi; Glomeromycota.
CCAAUAGCGUAUAUUAAAGUUGUUGCAGUUAAAAAGCUCGUAGUUGAAUUUCGGGAUCAAGGGAUCGGUCAUGCCUUGGUAUGUACUGGUCUUAUUGGUUCUCACCUUCUAAAGAACCAUGAUGUCAUUCAUUUGAUGUUAUGGGGAAUUAGGACUGUUACCUUGAAAAAAUUAGAGUGUUUAAAGCAAGCUUACGCUUGAAUACAUUAGCAUGGAAUAAUGACAUAGGACAUCAGAUUCUAUUUUGUUGGUUUCUAGGAUCGAUGUAAUGAUUAAUAGGGAUAGUUGGGGGCAUUAGUAUUCAAUUGUCAGAGGUGAAAUUCUUGGAUUUAUUGAAGACUAACUACUGCGAAAGCAUUUGCCAAGGAUGUUUUCAUUAAUCAAGAACGAAAGUUAGGGGAUCGAAGACGAUCAGAUACCGUCGUAGUCUUAACCAUAAACUAUGCCGACUAGGGAUCGGAUGAUGUUAAUUUUUUAAUGACUCAUUCGGCACCUUACG